Molecule: ribosomal RNA, 450 nt
Filed under: uncultured bacterium
Lineage: Bacteria
Description: partial 16S ribosomal RNA
Rfam family: Bacterial small subunit ribosomal RNA
Source: RNAcentral
GUGGGGAAUAUUGGACAAUGGGCGAAAGCCUGAUCCAGCCAUGCUGCGUGUGUGAAGAAGGUCUUCGGAUUGUAAAGCACUUUAAGUUGGGAGGAAGGGCAGUAAGUUAAUACCUUGCUGUUUUGACGUUACCGACAGAAUAAGCACCGGCUAACUUCGUGCCAGCAGCCGCGGUAAUACGAAGGGUGCAAGCGUUAAUCGGAAUUACUGGGCGUAAAGCGCGCGUAGGUGGUUUUGUAAGUUGGAGGUGAAAUCCCCGGGCUCAACCUGGGAACUGCCUCCAAAACUGCAUGACUAGAGUACGGUAGAGGGUAGUGGAAUUUCCUGUGUAGCGGUGAAAUGCGUAGAUAUAGGAAGGAACACCAGUGGCGAAGGCGACUACCUGGACUGAUACUGACACUGAGGUGCGAAAGCGUGGGGAGCAAACAGGAUUAGAAACCCGUGUAGUCC